AGUGAACGCUGGCGGUAGGCCUAACACAUGCAAGUCGAACGGCAGCACAGUAAGAGCUUGCUCUUACGGGUGGCGAGUGGCGGACGGGUGAGGAAUACAUCGGAAUCUACUUUUUCGUGGGGGACAACGUAGGGAAACUUACGCUAAUACCGCAUACGACCUACGGGUGAAAGCAGGGGAUCUUCGGACCUUGCGCGAUUGAAUGAGACGGUUUUGGAUUAGCUAGUUGGCGGGGUAAGGGCCCACCAAGGCGACGAUCCGUAGCCGGUCGGACAGGAUGUUCGGCCAAACUGGAACUGGGACACGGUCCAGACUCCUACGGGAGGCAGCAGUAGGGAAUUUUGGACAAUGGGCGAAAUCCUGACCCAGCAACGCCGCGUGGGGUAAGAAGGUCUUCGGGUCGUAAAGCUCUUUUAUUGGGGAAGAAAACAUGCGAGAUAAACCCCCCGCAUCUUGACGGUACCCAAAAAAAAAGCCACGGCUAACUUCGGG
This 492-nucleotide ribosomal RNA is filed under the name uncultured bacterium. RNAcentral describes it as "partial 16S ribosomal RNA". It matches the Rfam family "Bacterial small subunit ribosomal RNA", at positions 29 to 507 of the family's 1533-position model. The record is from RNAcentral.